GCAGGCUUAAUACAUGCAAGUCGAGGGGCAGCGGGAGUAGCAAUACUGCCGGCGACCGGCGCACGGGUGCGUAACGCGUAUGCAAUCUACCUUUAACAGAGGGAUAGCCCCGAGAAAUCGGGAUUAAUACCUCAUAACAUUAUUGAUUGGCAUCAAUUGAUAAUCAAAGCUGAGGCGGUUAGAGAUGAGCAUGCGUGACAUUAGCUAGUUGGUGAGGUAACGGCUCACCAAGGCGACGAUGUCUAGGGGUUCUGAGAGGAUGAUCCCCCACACUGGUACUGAGACACGGACCAGACUCCUACGGGAGGCAGCAGUAAGGAAUAUUGGUCAAUGGGCGCGAGCCUGAACCAGCCAUGCCGCGUGCAGGAAGACGGCCUUAUGGGUUGUAAACUGCUUUUAUCGGGGAAUAAAUCUUUCUACGAGUAGAGAGUUGAAGGUACCCGAAGAAUAAGCAUCGGCUAACUCCGUGCCAGCAGCCGCGGUAAUACGGAGGAUGCAAGCGUUAUCCGGAUUCAUUGGGUUUAAAGGGUGCGCAGGCGGAUUAUUAAGUCAGUGGUGAAAUCUAACGGCUCAACUGUUAAGCUGCCAUUGAUACUGAUAGUCUAGAGUAUAGUUGAAGUGGGCGGAAUGUGUCAUGUAGCGGUGAAAUGCUUAGAUAUGACACAGAACACCGAUCGCGAAGGCAGCUCACUAAACUAAAACUGACGCUCAUGCACGAAAGCGUGGGGAUCAAACAGGAUUAGAUACCCUGGUAGUCC
Molecule: ribosomal RNA, 758 nt
Filed under: uncultured bacterium
Lineage: Bacteria
Description: bacterial SSU rRNA
Rfam family: Bacterial small subunit ribosomal RNA
Source: RNAcentral